UGAAAUCUGGAAAUGAUAUUCAGAGACUCCCCACAAAGUUUGGUGAUUUUUGGACAUACUAAUAAAUUAUUAAAAUUCCUAGAAGUUUUAUUCAUUAAAUAAAAGAGGUAACUUUUAUAUACUUGCAAGCUACUAGAAAACAGAUACUAAUAUUUUUCCUAUGUUCUAUUCCUUUUAUGGAAGCUAUACAAAAAUUUCCAUGAUUUUUGAAUCAACACAAGAUUUAUUACACAAAUUCAAACAUUCAGCAUUUUUAAACAAAAAGGAAAAAAAGAAAAACACACUGGUCACGCGGCCGGCCCGCUUGGCUUCGGCCC
RNAcentral lists this long non-coding RNA (317 nucleotides) under Sorghum bicolor (sorghum). RNAcentral's name for it is "long non-coding RNA (SBIC_LNC013064)". The record is from RNAcentral. Lineage: Eukaryota; Viridiplantae; Streptophyta; Magnoliopsida; Poales; Poaceae.